This 349-nucleotide long non-coding RNA is filed under the name Medicago truncatula (barrel medic). RNAcentral's name for it is "long non-coding RNA (MTRU_LNC001116)". The record is from RNAcentral. Lineage: Eukaryota; Viridiplantae; Streptophyta; Magnoliopsida; Fabales; Fabaceae.
UAAACAAAGUUGGCCCAUCGUGUAAAAAUAUUGGCUUCUAUUAAUACAGUAUUUGCUAAUUUCUUGGCCAUUCUUAUCUCCACCUCCACCUCCACCACCUUCGGGUUGAUUAUUUUUUUGUUCUACUUCCAUUGCUCUUCGGCUUCAACGCCGUGUGCAAUGUGUCUAUCUCGACACACCCUAGGUGUAUUAGAAAACACACACACACACACACACACACACACACACACACACACACACACAGGAACUUGUAUUUGGAUAAAUAGAAAGGAUACAAUAGAAAUGUUCUUGACUGGAUGUCCAUUUAGGCAAUCCAUAAAGCCUGUUUACUUCUAGUUACUGAUGGGGU